AACGCUAGCUACAGGCUUAACACAUGCAAGUCGAGGGGCAGCAUGGUCUUAGCUUGCUAAGGCUGAUGGCGACCGGCGCACGGGUGAGUAACACGUAUCCAACCUGCCGUCUACUCUUGGCCAGCCUUCUGAAAGGAAGAUUAAUCCAGGAUGGGAUCAUGAGUUCACAUGUCCGCAUGAUUAAAGGUAUUUUUCGGUAGACGAUGGGGAUGCGUUCCAUUAGAUAGUAGGCGGGGUAACGGCCCACCAAGCCAUCGAUCAGUAGGGGUUCUGAGAGGAAGGUCCCCCACAUUGGAACUGAGACACGGUCCAAACUCCUACGGGAGGCAGCAGUGAGGAAUAUUGGUCAAUGGGCGCGAGCCUGAACCAGCCAAGUAGCGUGAGGGAUGACGGCCCUAUGGGUUGUAAACCUCUUUUAUGCGGGAAUAAAAUGUUUGACGUGUCAUACAUUGUAGGUACCGCAAGAAUAAGGACCGGCUAAUUCCGUGCCAGCAGCCGCGGUAAUACGGAAGGUCCAGGCGUUAUCCGGAUUUAUUGGGUUUAAAGGGAGCGUAGGCCGUCUGUUAAGCGUGUUGUGAAAUGUAGAUGCUCAACAUCUGAAUUGCAGCGCGAACUGGCAGACUUGAGUGUGCGCAACGUAGGCGGAAUUCGUGGUGUAGCGGUGAAAUGCUUAGAUAUCACGAAGAACUCCGAUUG
Molecule: ribosomal RNA, 696 nt
Filed under: uncultured bacterium
Lineage: Bacteria
Description: bacterial SSU rRNA
Rfam family: Bacterial small subunit ribosomal RNA
Source: RNAcentral